This 88-nucleotide microRNA precursor is filed under the name Caenorhabditis sp. 23 AD-2012. RNAcentral describes it as "mir-34". Lineage: Eukaryota; Metazoa; Nematoda; Chromadorea; Rhabditida; Rhabditidae. The record is from RNAcentral.
GGACAGUGCUCGAGAGGCAGUGUGGUUAGCUGGUUGCAUAUUGAAUUGACAACGGCUACCUUCACUGCCACCCCGAACAUGUAGUCCA